GUGCCAGCAGCUGCGGUAAUACGGAAGGGGCUAGCGUUGCUCGGAAUCACUGGGCGUAAAGGGCGCGUAGGCGGCCGAUUAAGUCGGGGGUGAAAGCCUGUGGCUCAACCACAGAAUUGCCUUCGAUACUGGUUGGCUUGAGACCGGAAGAGGACAGCGGAACUGCGAGUGUAGAGGUGAAAUUCGUAGAUAUUCGCAAGAACACCAGUGGCGAAGGCGGCUGUCUGGUCCGGUCUGACGCUGAGGCGCGAAAGCGGU
RNAcentral lists this ribosomal RNA (258 nucleotides) under uncultured Methylobacterium sp. RNAcentral's name for it is "partial 16S ribosomal RNA". It matches the Rfam family "Bacterial small subunit ribosomal RNA", at positions 505 to 763 of the family's 1533-position model. The record is from RNAcentral. Lineage: Bacteria; Pseudomonadati; Pseudomonadota; Alphaproteobacteria; Hyphomicrobiales; Methylobacteriaceae.